This 468-nucleotide ribosomal RNA is filed under the name uncultured bacterium. RNAcentral's name for it is "partial 16S ribosomal RNA". It matches the Rfam family "Bacterial small subunit ribosomal RNA", at positions 28 to 507 of the family's 1533-position model. The record is from RNAcentral.
GACGAACGCUGGCGGCGUGCUUAACACAUGCAAGUCGAACGGAAAGGCCCUGCUUUUGUGGGGUGCUCGAGUGGCGAACGGGUGAGUAACACGUGAGUAACCUGCCCUUGACUGUGGGAUAAUUUUAGGAAACUGGGGCUAAUACCGGAUAGGAGCUCCUGUUGCAUGGUGGGGGUUGGAAAGUUUCGGCGGUUGGGGAUGGACUCGCGGCGGAUCAGCUUGUUGGUGGGGUAGUGGCUUACCAAGGCUUUGACGGGUAGCCGGCCUGAGAGGGUGACCGGCCACAUUGGGACUGAGAUACGUCCCAGACUCCUACGGGAGGCAGCAGUGGGGAAUAUUGCACAAUGGGCGGAAGCCUGAUGCAGCAACGCCGCGUGCGGGAUGACGGCCUUCGGGUUGUAAACCGCUUUCGCCUGUGACGAAGCGUGAGUGACGGUAAUGUGUAAAUAAGCACCGGCUAACUACGUG